GGGUCGAUGGCGUAGUUGGUUAUCGCAUCUGUCUAACAUGCAGAGAAUUAUGUGGGCUGUCUGUACACAGAAGGUCCUCAGUUCGAACCUGGGUCGACUCA
Molecule: non-coding RNA, 101 nt
Organism: Termitomyces sp. T32_za158
Lineage: Eukaryota; Fungi; Basidiomycota; Agaricomycetes; Agaricales; Lyophyllaceae
Source: the annotation of a GenBank genome assembly